RNAcentral lists this long non-coding RNA (16122 nucleotides) under Eucalyptus grandis. Its description in RNAcentral is "long non-coding RNA (EGRA_LNC003159)". The record is from RNAcentral. Lineage: Eukaryota; Viridiplantae; Streptophyta; Magnoliopsida; Myrtales; Myrtaceae.
GACCAAAACGACGAGGACGACGCGAGGAUCGACUUUCCUCAAGGCGGGCCGAGCAUCCGGGCUCGGGAAGGCGGCCGAAACGGGCCAAACAUGGGCUGCCAUACCCAUUUUCUUGGCUGUUGCUUGGGGCCGAUGGAGGGCUGCACGGCGGCGGAUUGGGCAGAGGAACGGCGGAGGAGGACUGCCGGUGGCUCGGAUGGGCAAGGCGGCGGCCAGGCGAGGCCUCACGGUGGCCGGAGGUGACUGAAUCGCGGCCUGAGCUGGCCGAACAGCCCCCGGGACGCACGAGCAGAGGCCCACGGAGACGGCUGGGCGUCGGCCGAGCGCGGGCGAGCGCGGGCGGACGGGCAGCGAUGGCAAGCUCCGGCGAACGGGCGACGAACGACAGCCAUGGCUGCAGCUUCUUCAACAAGCUCAGAUCUGAUGGGUCUUCGAGCAAGAACCCGAGAUGGAGGAGAGAGGGCGACGGUGAGCGGACGCGCGGCUGUGCGCGCGAACGGCGGCGACAACGACGGCACCGGCGGCGAGCGACGAGCGGCGAAGGAGGCGGACGGCGAGGGACUGCUUUGGCUUCUUCCUCAGCAAAUUUUCUGGUCUUUCGCACAAAGAAGAUGGAGGAGAAACCAACGGAAGGGAGAGAGGAAGGAGAGAGAAGGAGGAGAGAGAGAGAUGGGACCAUUCCCUUUUCUUUUCCUUUUUCUUUAAUCCCACAAAAAUGGCCCACCAUGACCUCAUGGAUGAUGUCAUACUCCACUCACUCAAAACUCCCACAACCUUAUUUCAAUGGAUUCAAUUCCAUUUUCCGCCGGGGUCCAAUUCUUGUACAUCCAAUUUCUUCAAUUCUCAUCAAUUCUCUUCCAAUUGAAUCAAAUUGAAGUCCAUAAAAUUAAUCCGAUGUCACCACACUUCAAUCCACAUCUUCACUUGUCUAUAGAACCAACUUAAGUCCCAAAAGCAAGACCAAAGGCGGGCCUACUAAUUUCUCAAGCCAAAAUAGCCAUUCUCUGAUUUAAUUGCUGAAAAACUCUGAUUACAUGAAAAAUCUUCCAAAGAUGAUUCAAUGAUCCUGAAAUAAUUUCACUGCAGCCCAACCUACCAGGUAGCCUUUAGAAAUUUUCAUGCAUUUGACCUGUGGUUGAUCAUCUCAAGGCACAAUGUACAUCUUUGAAACAUUGGCGACUUUCGGUUGUCGGGGUAAUCUCAAGGUUUCAAAUACGAACAUAGGGUACCCAAUCGAUAGAAAAGUCGGUCCAGUGCCGAUCGACAAGAAUUGUGCGAUCUGGUGGAAUCACCCACACUCGAUCACAUGCCUAUGUCGAGUCGACCUAUCUCUGAUCUCUAAUCGAUUUUUAAUUGUGCCGUAAUGACCCUUGCAAAUUAGCUCGGUCGAAAGAUCGCUUCCUAGUCAAAUUCUCGAAUCUGAUGCAUUAGAAAUUCUUAACAGCUUCACCCGAUAAACUAGUUUUCACAUGAGUGGCCAACUCAAGGAAAAGAACUAUAUGUGUGCCAACGAAAUGCCCAUCUCAAUUUAUUGAAAAUAGAAUCGGAAAAUCGGGAUGUCACAUUUUACUUGUAAAUGCUAGGUGAUUGGAUUGCCCUCAUGCGAUGGUUUUUCUCAAGGAAUUAUAGGUGAUAAGCUUCCAAUUCCCAAUAUUAUUUCCAAAAGAUGAAACUACUUGUAUACUGGAGGACGAAACGUAGAAUUCUCUAAACCUUCUCUUUUCUGUGGAAAUGUAUAGAAUGACUGCCACUCUCUCUCUCUCUCUCUCUCUCUCUCUCUCUCUCUCUCAUAUGCAACGGCUUGUGACGGAAACAUUUUAUUUGGGCAUUUGUGGAGUUUUUGUUUUUGAAUAAUCAACAAUAAUUACAUCUGCUGCAAAUGAUGAUCAUCACUGAAAGAUAUCCUUUUCUCAUGACUUGCUUAAAUGUUCUUUGGUUUGUAUGCGGGGUAAUAGGAUUUAAAGUGUGCUCUUUGGCUUAUGCAAAGUCUAUCUGACUGGAUAUGCCCAUAGAGAGUGCACAAAUAGUUUCGUAUCAAUUUUGUCUUUAUCCUGCGAUCAGGCAAUCUAAUUUUUCAAGAAGAAUAUUUACAGCAAAAUAUGCCUUUCCUGCUAAGUUUUUUUUCUCUCAAAUAUUCACUUUUGCAUCUUUAUUAUUUGACCAAUCAUGUCAGUAAAUUUUUUUGUGCCUAUAUUAAUUAGAAGGGCCAAAUAUUCACUUUUGCAUCUUUAUGUUUUACGAAUCAUGUAAGUAGAAGGGCCAAAUGACUUCAUUAUUCUUCACCUUGUAGAAAAACACAUAAGGUAAAACCAUUUGAAAACUCUCGGUGUGUAAAACUGCAAGAAAACCCCAGAAUUUCAAUUUCAUGGCGGAGACCUCCAUCCAUGGUGUCGUCCACCGCAAAUCCAACUCCGGCGACCGUCCAAGCGGCACCAAAAGAAAUCCUCCUCCUCCUUCGAGCCCUAGGGAUCUCAUUAGUGUGUGCCUGUGAUUAGCACUGUUUUGUGGCGUUUGUUGCCCCGGCUGAGUGACCUCCGCUUUUUGCGGCAUUCUAGUCUUUCAUGAAGGGGAAUCUUGGAGAGUGCAUGUAUUUAUUAAUUUGGCAGAUAGGAUGAUAUAUAACUUUGAAACUUAGAGCUCCUUCCCUCUGUUUAAUUUUCAAUAAAUGGAUCUGGGAUGAGUCAAUUUUUGGGACAAUGAAUGCCCACUAGAUCUAGGAUCAAUGCAACAUUCUUAGAUGCUUGUUUUUCACAAGAAAAUGUGCAUGAAGAGAUUAUAUGAAAAAUGUUCAUUUUUCAGUUCAUUUUGUCAGUUUAUCGAGAAGAUACAAUUAUCUAGAAAUAUGAUGAAGAACAAUGGACCUAAUCACCUUAGGUUGACAAAACCGGGUCAUAUGCUCUCUUGUCACUUUAGGCUGCUCUUCCAUAAUACAUCUUUUAGAGUAUUCUUAGAAUAUUUUAUAAUGACAAUGGACAGAUUCACUUGGAAACUUAGGUCAAUGUUGAGGUUUGCUGUCUCAUGUAAGUAACUAUAGAAUUUUAAGAUCCUUCAAAGAUUACAAGUUUUCCAUGAGAAGCAUAUGUAAAUAGUCUCCUUUUAUAAAGAGAUUCACUUGUUCAUUUCUACUUUUAGUAUCUUCAUCAAUCUUUUCCCGGCUGCAAGGUAGUGUUAAAGGAUAUUGUACUUGGAUGGAAUGUAAUUUUAUUAUUCUUAAUUCAUGUUAGACAAGAAAGUAAAUAUUACUUUAAUUUUCUUUGUUACUUGCUCAAUGUGAUUAGAUUCUAUCCCAUUUGGAGAUGGAAGGGGUCUCCAUUGUCAAUAUGUCAGAAUCUGAGACUACAUGGGCCAGUUAGUCAAUGGGACUUUCCUAGGAUACAAUACAUGCUACGAAGUGCACAGUGCCUAAAAAAUAAUUCAUAGACCUGACCUCCCCCCUCUAUUGAAGGUUUGUUCAUUCGCUAUGAUUUUUUCAGUUCGCUUCUUUGGUUUGACUUCCUCUUUGCACGAAUGUGCAGGGCUACGACUAUUCGACAUUCAAAAAAACAAAUCAAUAGGUGGUCCUAGAAAAGGGAAACUAAAUUGCAUAGAAUGUAUUAGUUGGCAGCAGGGGUCGAGCGAUCAGUCCUCUCCACGUAGCUCCCCCACGAUACUUGCUGACACGUCUCCUACUUAUUUUGGCUUCCGAGCUUCGAUACAAUUUCAAUUUGGAUAGAAAUUGAUGCGCAAACUCAACAACCUUUUUUUGGUAAAACGGUGGAGUCGGCUUCUAAAUAGAGACGUGCGACAUGCAUCGCAGUCUGUAUUUGGCAUGGUUGGGAGGUGAGAAAAAUCUUCUCCGGUGCCAUAUUUGUCAGCCAGUUUGAAAAAAAAAAAAAAGCACGUGUAUGUAAUUUAAGAUGUGAUUAUUGUUGGACGCAAAUUGCGCAACCCCAAGAUCUCCAUAACUAGAACAAGAACAUGCAUAAUUUAGUAGAAAGAUUAAUGCACAUAUUUUUGGAUCCAUCAUUCUUUAAAGUGGAAGCAAAAAAGGGAUUAUCCACACAUUAAGGAGAUUACCCACGCAUCAAGUCAUUCUCUUCUAUUGCCCUCCAUAUCACUGGCUUAAUGAGGUGGCCCCUCACCUUUAACGUUAGAUUAACGCUCAUUAUGUGAGGAUACAUGUGAUAAUUCGGGUUAGAGGAGAGACUUGAGCACUAUUUAUAGAGUUUCCAACCAGGCCCCCUCAUUACGGGCCAUGCUCAACUCGGCCCACACUAGCCAGCCUCAUAUUAGACUAAUUAAGAAACAUUCUAUCUCACCUUAGACCAACCCUGUUUUACAGUAACCGUAAAAACAGUAAAUUACAAUAUCAAUUAAUGUAGUCCACAUUAGGAAAAUUCUUACAAUUAUGCUAUUCCUAAGCUCAUGAGAUGCCAAACUUUAUCACGAAUGUGGUUUUUGCUAAGGAAUUAUGUUUGAGAAGUUUUAUGUUGAACUUUCCGGGUAGAAUUUUGCAAGUUUCACCACUUAUCAAUGUCUACUGCUUAGUAAAUAGAGCGUUUGGAUGUGGUGUCAUAUAUCAGGCUCACUCAAGCAAUUUUUUUUUUCUAGAGCUCAAGCUUAGUUAUGCGUAAGCCCGCCCCUUUUGAGCCUAUCCAGACCCGAUUAUAAUAAAGUUCAUUUAUUACGCGAGAAAUAAGUAAUUUUAAAAAAAUAAAAAUUAAAAAAACUCAAAAUAAUGCCAUGUCAAAGCAUUUGUUAGACCCGACUUACAGUGUCAACAUACUUGGUUUUCACGCACCAUCCAAAGUGGCACAAAAAGAGUGAACAAAUUUUAUUUCCAUAUGGUGUGAUUUGCGUUUUCUUAUUUCAUAUAUGCACACUUUUAGAUGAGAUUGUGCAUUAAAGAAUUCCUUCCAUUUAGCUAUUGUUACUAGCAAAAGUUGCACAUAUUUUGUGUAUAUUCAAAAUAUACACAAAUGAAUAAAGGACUGAGUACAAUUGAAAAAGACUGGCCAAGUCUCCUAGAAUUUCUAGAGACUUCUAGAAUAUUCCCAAGGACGGGCAACACAGCAAAUGUAGCAUGUUCUAGAGAAUUCUUGUCAUAAAUGUCGGUAGUUAAUAGACUCUUAUAUAAAUCUCCAUCAUUAGAUCGAUAGCCAAUCAAUGAAUGUUACGCGAUGGACUCUUGUCUAAAUAGAAAUGUCAGCCCCUCAUUUGUAUUAAUCUAAUACUUGAGUAGUAGAAUGCAUUAUCUUACAGAGCUACUCUCUAAAAAAUGUUCCAAAACUUAAAAAAUGUUCUUGUCACCCCUUGUUGGAUUCAAUUAUUAAUAGCUAUGUUGAGUUUGCAAGCCCCUUGUUGGAUUCAAGUAUUAAUAGCUGUGUUGAGUGUUGAGUUUGUGAUCAGGCAUGGCGUCAAAGAGUUGUCGUAAACCUGAUCCUGGCAUUUCAGUUUCAUGUGUUGUUGGUUUCCUUCUUCCACCUCACUACGUUGGUAAGUUUGCUCUUGUCUCAAGGCAUUUUUUGGUUGAUAGAUGCUGUAAAUUGGCCUUCGCUGAAGACACUGCGCAUUGGAUAUGCCAAGUUGAUGGAUCGAAGACUUUCGAGGAGGUGCCUUGUUUUGUAGUUUCCUGAGUUGAAAGACUGCAUAAGCUUUAAGCACAUGAGAAUUGAAUCAAGAGCUAUGAGAGAGUUGCUGAUUAACUCUAAUAGAUUAUAUGCUCGUGAUGGUUUGCUCUUGAAUAUAUCGGCUGCUCAUAUACUGAAAUUGAAAUUCUUAUUUGUUCCAGCAAUUGAUUUUUUGUAGGGAUUAACAAUACAUAGGACCACCUAUGUAUUUUUGUAGGGAUUAACAAAAAUUUUGAUCCGGUCGAUAAGUGCAAAAGAAGACUAUCGAUUUGCGGCAGAAGAAUCAUAGUGUCAUUCUCCAUUAAAUUUAAAUAUAAUAGCCCAGUCAACACUGGGUCAAAACAAAUUCAAUGUCACACCUCCCAAAAUUCUUGACCGGCGCCAUGCGUGGCUGCAAAGGUCAUGGAAAGAGGAUGAUCUUGAAAUCGACGUGAAACUGCCUUCCAUUUUUUAGACAAAAGCACAAAUUUUCUUGUUUCUUUCUUUCACCGAACGUUCCGAUUCAGUCACAAUGUUGGCGUUCUCUUCAACUUCAUGCAACUUCAUGUUCAGACAGGCUUGAUAAAGCUCUUAUUUGAAACUUUGCCAUGGACUGGCCAAGGGUAGAACCUAGCUGGGCGAGAGUAAUGAUGGCCAAAGGAGACCCCCCUGCCCCGGGGAGAAAGGGCGGGGGGAACCGGUUUAGAUCAUCAACCAUUGUACUUCCAAAUAUAGAUGUUCCUAACAAGUGUUCCCUAACUAGGGUUUCUUUCCAGCUCAACGAUAUUCCAUAUCAUAUUAUCUUGUGGAGUUGGUAAUGGAAAAGCUUUUAUGUCUUAUAAACUGUGAUUGACUUCUUUUUAUGCUUCUAGGUUGCAUUGUAUAUGCAUGCACAUCCUUGGUGUGAAAUGGGAAAAAGAGUGUUUCUUUACCUCAAAACCAAUGGGCGCUGCCUUACUUCCGAAUGAGGUAACAACUUCGUCUCUAAGAUCAUACCCCCAAUAAACCUUGAAUUUGUGGGUAUAGGUCCACAUCAAGAAACUACAUAACUUGGUUAAUAAUUUUUGCUCAUGCGCACCUGCACACGUCAAGUACAUUUGAUUUGUCGUUAAAUGAGGUUAGAAUGCAACUGAAUUUAUGAGAAAGUCUGAGGAUAUGUAGAAUAUUCCAACAAAUCUAGAGCUUUCAGUUCUAGGCCGACAAAGGGUUGCUGGUAAUGAUUCGUAAUUCAUUUCUUAGGAUUAAUACUUGAUCAAAACUUCAUAGAAGGCAGAUACAACGAGCUCUAGCAAGGGUUUACUCACCGGCAAGUUAUAGAUGGUGUGAUGAGCUUUUGUGCUCUUUUUACUGUAUCACUUGACAGCAGGAACUAAUAUGAACGUUCAUAGAAAACACAUCUACAUAGAAUUAAAUUUAACAUCCUUAAGUCACACUUACAAAAGGUGGCAAGUAUCGUUUGCAUUGUCACAACGAAUUGUCACAACAAUGACACCUCGACUUCCAGAAGUAGGAAUUUGUUUUUUUUUUUUUGGGUAUAAGUAAGCAAUAUAUUGGGGAAAAGGGGAAACUGUACAAGCGAACAUGGCUUCAAAAACUUGCACUCAAGAUGAUAAGAAUCAAUAUGAGUGGAAGGAAGCCAGGAGGAAAAAGCCGAGCGGCUAACCAAGAAGCCAGAAGCAAGAAAGCACUAGAACGGCGAAAACAACUGCCAACUAGAAAACAAAUUACCACAACACCCAGGGCAAGGGAGGUGAAAAUCAAUCGCCACCAACCACAAGCAGCAACAGGCUCACACGGAGGUAGACCAGCAAAACCAACGGCCACUAAAUAGCUUAGACGGACGGCUGAAGAUCUCUAGAAGAGAAAAUGAUCGGGUCAAUGUCCCAACUGCGCUGCAGCCUCCUAUUUCUAGUGGAGUCAUCCACAUUUCUGAAGGUGACAGCCUUGUCUUUAACGACUUUGAGAAGAUGCUUCUUCAUGGCCGGCACGGAAAGCAGCUCCCCUCUGAAGAGUAUGUUGUUCAUGUUCAUACAAAUGAUAUGGCAAAGCGCACCAAAAGAAAAGCGGCCAAUGCAUUUAUAAAAGUCCUUGCUCAACAGCAAGGUUAUGGCCCAAUGGAGAGUCUCACCCCCAAGACCUGUUGCGCCAUAGAAGAUUGCAUCUAGCCGCCCAAAAGAAAGUAAUAUUACUCGUAGUGCAACACCCAAAAAACAGAUGAUCAAUAGAGUCAGGCACAUCAUUGCAGAAAGGGCAAGAGGUAGAAUCAAUCCUACCAUAAGAUAGAGUAGAGCUUGGGUAGGAAGCCUGCACUUGGUGAUUAGCCAAAGGUUAAAUUGGAACCAAGGCAAGAUGGCAAUGUUCCAGAUGAAAGGAUGCCAAAAGACCCACGUCUUCUUCCAACUAAUGGCCUCCCAAGCCGUUGCAAUUGUGAAACGGCCCGACGAGUUCUCUUUCCAACAAAAACAAUCCUAGUUCCGAGACAGGGAGGGGAGAGGGGACUCCCAUGACUCUAACACUGACCUGAUAACCUAGCCAUCAUCAGAAAAGAGGUCUGACACUGUAGCCUACCUAGAGAAACCGGAACUAUAGAUGAGCGAAUCCAAGAAAAAUAAGUUCAAUAGGCCCCAAGGAUGUUAAUUAUCAAACUAGAGUGACAUUGAUAGGCCAUCCCCUAUCCUCCAAAAGAAGCUAUGUUAGAAUUCCAUAUGAGCUAUAAGAUCUUCUUCCAAGCCCAGGAACAAGUUGGCUCUUGACAACCCAAAAGUUACUCAUUUUUAAGAAGGUUGAGUGGAUCCACUUGCAUCACAACGAUUCCUUAUCUGAAAACAAGAUCCAUAUAUGUUUUAGAAUAGCAGCUUUAUUACAAUCACGAAGUCUCCAAAUACCAAAACCUCCAUCCUCUUUUGGGAGGCAUACGUCACCCCAAGAAACCUUGGCACCCCCUCUACCCAACUUCGGGCCUCUCCAAAGGAAUUGUCUGAGAAUACACUCAAUUUGGUCUAGCACAGCCGCAGGAAGAAUAAAAACACUCACCCAAUAGGCAUGGAUAGCAUGAAGAACUUACCUGAGCAACUAGAGACGGCCAGCAAAAGAUAGAAACCGAUGAGUCCAAAAUUGUACCCUCGAUGUAAUGCGACUAACAAUAGCAGCACAAUCCGUCUUCCCCAACCUCAACGUGAUGAUUGGAACCCCAAGUAUCAAACCGGCAAGUUCCCUUCUAGGAAGCCUAGGUCUAGCAGGAUUUGAUUUCUUAAGGACGGCGAGCCCACUGACAAGAACACCUCACUUUUCCUCGAAUUUGGGUGCAACCCACUCUAGGAAGAGAACGUUUAGAGGCCUUCUUUAAGGAGCGUCACAGAAGGCAAGUCGGCCUCACAAAAUAGGAAGACGUCAUCUCACAAGGAUUCUAGAGAGCACCUCCAUAACCAACGUAAAUAAAUAGGGAGACAUGGGAUUGCCCUAUCGAAGGCCUCGACCACUAAGAAAGAAACCAUGUAACUCCCCAUUCAAAGCAAUGGAAAACCUAGGCAUCUACACACAGGUCAUAAUGAGCUGCACUAGGCGAUCAGGGAACCGAAAAGCAAGGAGAACACUCUCUAGAAAGAGCCAAUCCACGAUGUCAUAGGCUUUCCUGAAGUCUACUUUAAUUGCACACUUAAGGGAAUAUGACUCCAAAUGGAAGCUAGAGAAGAGUUCUUGAGCCAAAAGGAUAUUAUUCCCGACCUGCCACCCAUUUACAAAAGCAUUUUUAGAAUGGCUCACAAGAUCCUUUAGCACUGCAGCCACUCGAUUUGCCAAAACUUUGGUAAUUAGUUUGUAAAUAAAAUUGUAGCAAGCAAUAGUGUAAUCAUCAACGGUGGUCGCGUUAUGAACCUUCGGCACCAAAACCAGAAUGAUGUUGUUGAUCUCCCUUAGGAGCCUCCCCGUGGUGAAGAGGUCCCUCACGGCUGCCGUGACUGACUGCUCAACCGUCCCCUGGUUCUCCUUAAAGAACUCAACCAUGAAACCAUCCGGUCCCAAGGCCUUACCGCGAGCUAAAGACAAAAGAGUGUCUCGAAUCUCUAGAUCAGAGACAGGUCGCGCAAGAGAGGUAAUCUGGUCAUCGUUUAGCGGAGAUCAGAUGACCUCCUGGAUCUCCCGUAUCGAGGGUGUUCCCUGCUCCACCCGAGGCAUGAGGAGGUCUUGGAAAUACUCCAUAAAAUGUUGCUAGACCAGCAAUGGAUUAGUGAUUUGGUUCCCCAAGGAAUCCAUAACAAAGAGGAUUAUGUUUCUCAUAUGUCUUUUAUUGACAUAGUGGUGGAAGAACUUUGUAUUACGAUCCCCUCUUUAAGCCAUCUGAUUCUAGCUUUUUGUCUAAAAAAUGACUCCUCCUUAGAGCGAAGGUCUAAGAAGGUGCCGCGUCGAUUCUUUUCCAACUCAGCAAGCUCCACACUAGUAGGGUCUUGAAGGAGGCCAACCUGUGUCAACUCUAAAGCAACCCUCGCUUCUGAAAUCCUAGCAGAAGUAUUGGAGAAUGACUUUGUUUAACUGCUUGAGCCGACUUUUAAGAGCCUUAAGGACGUGCGGAUCCCUCAAGUGCCACAACUUUGGCCAAAGGGACACUUAAGUGCCAUAACUUACGAAAGGUACAUUUAAGUGCCAAAAUCGGAGUAAAAUGGAUCACUUGAGUGCUACUCCGGCCAAAACGCCAACGUAGCGUUUUUCCGGUGAAGCGUGCCCAAAACGACGCUGUUUUGCACGCUGACGUGGCCAAAACGGUGUCGUUUUGGAUUGACGUGGAAAAAAAAAAUUUAAAAAAANNNNNNNNNNNNNNNNNNNNNNNNNNNNNNNNNNNNNNNNNNNNNNNNNNNNNNNNNNNNNNNNNNNNNNNNNNNNNNNNNNNNNNNNNNNNNNNNNNNNCAACAUAGAUUAAUGAAAACACAACAGACAGCCCCCCAAAACCAAACACCUGAGAUCCCCAGGAACAGCUUGGUCCAUAUAGAGAAAGCUUCGAAGGAAACACUGGAAGGAUCCCAAUCAACCCAAAUCCUUUCCCUGAUGGGAGUACUCAUAAUUAGCCAACCAACACCAGUUCAACAACAGAUUCCCAGAAAUAGAUCUAAAGAGAUUGUGCAGGACUUUCGUUUCCACUAAACCAACCAAAACCAAAUGAUUCAACAAAACCAGAUUCUGAACCUCAGCUUGUCUCGAGGGGCCAACAAGGCCCCUAAUGUUCCAACACCUUAUAUACAUAUAUACCAAAAAGAAGAAAGGAAGAAGGAGGGUUACCUCCUCUUGGAUGAGCUGCGCCAAGUGGGGGGCGGGGCAGCACGGGCCGAAGAAGGGGGCGGGUCAGGAGCCAAGGUGAGCAGCUUGUCCUGCAUAGUCUCAACCUUUCUACUAGUAGCCAAAGCCUUCGGCGAGGGACAUGGGGAUAGUAGGUCAUCAUCUGAACUGGAAAUCAGGUUAUUCGAUCCCUCUAGCUCCUCACUAGGGCUAGGCAACACAGGACUGAGGGGCUUCGUAGAGUUGGGCACAUCAUCCACAGAGACGGGAACGGCUUCAUCCUGCUUCGAAAUAAUUUUGAGAUCUCUCUGCACUUUGUGAGUUGAGGUAGAGGGCAGUCCCUUCUCCAAAGUAGCAGCCUUUAACCUUAGAGUCCAUCCCUCAUCACUCAAACUAACCUAGAUGGUCAAACUCCCUUCCAUCGGAGGAUGAGGCUUCUUCUUAUUUCCCUUGACUUGAUUCCAAGCUUGCUCCGGUUCUGCAGGGUCUUUCGAAGUAGGGGCAGGAAGCUGGACAGGGACCGAAGAAGCAGGUGGGGCCUAAGCCUAUCUUGACGUCAUCUUCGGGUUGAUGGAGGCGGGGGAAGCCUCACACUUGUGGCCGAAAAUGCCACACUUAAGGCACUCAACAAGCCACUAUUCGUAAUCAAUGUCUAUCGAUCAUGACACUCCAUUCACAACCACUUCAACCGACGAACACCUUGGUUUUUUUGCCUAGAUUUCUACGAACACUCUAGCAAAAGAAAUCAUCUUCAUUAACUCCGUGCGUUGGCCACAUAAAAAGGGUUUACUAAUGUAACUUGCUAUGGCACUUAUUGCCGGCGCCGACUAAAGGUCAAAAGGAAGAUUCUUGAGCCUAAUCCACACCGGAACGGAGGAUUACUUAUCUUUUUUUAGCUCUAAAAGAGGCGUCCAUUGCGAUAAAAUGAGAGGAACCCUUGCCACCGUUAGGGGCCCCUCCUCUAAGAUCUUACAGAAUAAGAGAUCCAGGACAUGGAAAAAGAAGAAACCUUGGUCAUUGGCCAGCACUUCCACAAGCUUAGGGCCCCAAGUGUUCUUCAAAGCUUGCUCGAUGAGCUGAAAAUGAAGUUUCCUCCCUACAAAAUAUCCAACCAAGUAUAUAUACCAAUCAUUUUCAAAGAUAAAUAAUUUAUUGUCAACCUCUUACAAGGAAAUAUCAUAUUUUGAGAGUCCUUUUCGAUUACAAUCCCAUGCUUUGAAGGACACUCUUGAAUUCUCUGUUCAUCCUCCAAAGGAGGGACUUUGAUGUGGAAGAUGAAUUUCAAACAAUAUGCCAAUGCUAUCCAUUUAAGGUAAAAGAAACAAACAUAUAAAUAACCUAAGUGUUUUUGUUUCCCUUUUCAAGGGAUUGAUCGCAAAUUUUGCUUGUAUUUCAUGUUCAAAACCGUGGGUUGUUUGGCCAUGAGGACUCACAUGUGUAGGCAUCCACUCUCGUAUAUGCAUAAUCCACUCACAUAUGUGUUAGGGGCUUUUUUUUUUUAAUGAUAUGCUUCUUUAUGGGUAUCUCCUUAAACUAUGAAGUGAUCAAUCGUUUCGUUUAGAUAAAAUUAUCAAUCUGUCAUUGAAAGUAAUUAUGUCAAGACAACUUCGAUCAAAAUGAGCUUCUUUUAAGCUCAUCCAAAAUAUUGUUCCUAUAAUUGAUUCUAUUGUGCAACAACCAGAAUUUACAAAGGGAGAGAGCGGUUAUUAGUCAUGGCAUGAGGCAAUAUCACCUCAUAGUUGAAAGGUGGAGAGUGGUUUAUUUGCCUUGAGAUAAUUUGUGUAUUGAUGUCGCCUUAUACUCCGUUCAUUUUCCAAGUGCGGCUUUUAUGAACUUUGCCAAUUCUAGGACAAGUUCAAAACAUGUAGAGAAGACCAAGUUACCAUGAAUGGAAAUCACAGCUACCAAAGUUUCCAUUUUUCCAUAUGGCAAAGUACACGAAUCUGAUGUGGUAAUGCCUGUCAAGCUUUAGGAGGUGGGAUUGGAUCAUACAUCAUGAGAAAUUGACUAUAUACCAAGCAUUUUCAAAGAUAACAAAAUUGUUGUCAACCUCUUGCAAGGAAAUACCAAAUAUUGGGAGUCCUUUUCGAUUACAAUCCCAUGCUUUGGACUCUCUUUAAUUCUUUGAUCAUCCUCCAAAGGGGGGACUUUGAUGUGGAAGAUGAAUUUCAAACAAUAUGUCGAUGUGAUCCGUUUAAGGCAAAAGAAACAAACAUAAAAAUACCCUAAGUGUUGAAACAAAAUCGUGUGUUGGUUGCCCAUGAGGAGUCACAUAUGUGUCGGCAUCUACUCACAUAUUUUCGAAGUUAAGAACCUAGCCGAUUCUCGUCUAAACCAGCCUCAAACAGAACCAAUCAGGCUGGUCUUCAUCAAUUCUAGCGUCUCCUUCAAAUAAUCGCUGACCCUAAGACCUUGUCUUUAUCACAAAUUCUCUUCCAACAUCCAAAUAUUCUCUUGAUUUACUUAUAACAUCCCACAUCGACCACAUAAUGAAGGAUAUUCCAACAAAAGCCUGAUUUUGCUUUCCUUUUAUGAACAAAGUCAAGUGCUGAGAAACUUCUCAAGGGCCUUCUAUUAGAACUUACUUGGAAGUUUUCCCAAUGUACACAACGCGGAGAAACAUAUUUUGGCAAUUCCUCCUCAAUCAAAUUUACGUGCUCAUGAAAUGGCCCGUGGUCACCACUUACUUUAAUCCAAACAUGUAUAUUUAAUGGAUGUUGAUACAGUUGUUUGAAGUGCAAUGACGCUUAAUCAGUAAGUGAGCCAAAGAGAUGACUCUGAAGCUCAACGACAUGCACUCCUACAUAAGAAUCACAAGAUUUGCCGUUUCAAAAGAUUGAAACUUUGGUAGCUGUGAUUUCCAUUUUGUAUAUAAGUAGAUGAACCUCGUCCCCUUCGCUACUUACUACAUUGAAAAUCCUAUACUGUCUCCACUCAACAUCCAUCACUAGAGACCAGCCAAAAUGUCCAACUGCACUCUCAUUGCCGCCUUCCUCCUCCUCCUCCUCCUCAUCGCCAUCACCACCACCACCUUCGUCUAUGCCGCCACCACCCUUGAGCACAAGGCCCUUGACCAUGACCACGAUGGUGGUAGGAGAGGUGGUCCAUUGCUUUCUUUGUCUUUUUUCUUUUUUUUAGGUUUUUAUUUUGUCCUAUAAAUUCAUUUUUGUACUAAAAUUGUGAGGUUGUUACUCCUGUUUGCUUACAGGAGCACUACUGAUGCUUGCACCAGACCCGUACUGUCACGCCCCGAACCCCGAGUGCGAGCACAUCCCACUGCGGUCGAUCAAAUGCGACAUUCCCAGGUAGUGUCGCCGACCCUAUUCAUUUUUUAUUUUUUUUUACGCAAGCGGAACAUAUUAUAAAACCCCUGACAAUGAAAUAUGUGAUAGACAAGUAGGAAGCAAAACCACAACAUAACACUUACAUAAACCAACGGGGUUAUAAACGAAGGCCUACAGCCAAAAGUCUACAAAAGAUCGGCUCUUAAAAAUGAACUGUCCUACGACCAACAAGUCGGACACGUUCUCCAGUCCUCCUGACUUCACCUCUGCAACUCCUCAAGGUCAACCAAAGCUAUCUAGCCGCUCCAUCCAUCUAGGGACCUGAAAUUUUAAUCCCACAACCGGGAUGAGACGAUGUCUCAGCAAGUUCAACCCCCUAAACCCCUAUUAGAAAGAAAAUACACCCCGGGUGGCCUAGCCACAUCACACAGAAGACUUACCUCGCCUCAGUUCCUUCCUGCAGGUUAGCGCAAUUCAAAUCACUCAAUCACAGAUAGUAAGAGGAACUUAAACAACCGGAACGUAUUCACUUUCAUAUAACCAACAAUCGCGGGGGUCUUGAUUAUAAGACUAAAUCGUUAUGACACGUCUCAUUCCAUGCCACACAAUUCCGUCCCAUAAUCCGACACAUCAACAACACUCAACAUGCAUUCCAAUUGUUAUUCACUGCCACACAAGGGCAUAGCCUACUCGCAGUUCGGCUAUCUACUGGCAUAUAGCCAGGCAUCGCCUCCCCACCUUGGAGCGCGGCUUCUUCAGUACAUCGACGGCGUUCCCGAAGGAGCAUGGGCCCAGAAUCAACUGCGACCCGCAACCACUGCGUGGGCAUCCCAUAUAGGGGCAAGUCUAGCUCAACAGCCCAGGACGAUUCCUCUUAAUUAUCACACAUCAAUUCAUAUUCAGCCCGGGGCACUUUGCAUUUCACUCAAUGCUUCCACUUAAAAUAGUGAUCCCGACCACUUUUCUUCAUAUUAAAAAUAUUCCAGAAAUUACUCACGUGUGUGGGGACACGCUAAUUUCGAAUAAAAAAGCCAAUAUCUCACUUUUUCCAACCCCACUAUUUAAUAUAAUAAUUAAAAUCCAAUUUUUGCAUAAAAACCCGACACUUGGGUUUUUAUGAAUAAAAUCUCUAUUUACCACAAUCAACACUCAAUUUGCCACAUCCAUUCAUUGAAUUCAAAUUCUAAAUGCACAGCAGCAAUCAGCACGAAAUUAUGAGGAAAUAGGGUUCCAAAAUAAUUUUCAGAAUUUAUUAAAUAAUUAAAUUUAUUCCGAAAAUUAAUUAAAUAAUAAUAUCCAUAUCUUUCACAAUCCCCACUCAAUUUAUAAUAUCCAAUCAUCAAUUUCAAAAUCUGACUGCACAGCAGCGACCAGCAAGAAAUUCUGAGAAUUUAGGGUCCCGGGGAAAAUUUUCGGAAUUUAAUAAAUAAUUAAAUUUAUUCCGAAAAAAAUUAAAUAAUAAUAUUUUAAUAAUUUCGAAUAAUAAUAUAUUAUUAAAUUAUUAAAUAAUUUCGAGAUAUUUAAAUAAAUCAAAAGUAAAUUCCUUUAUGUCACAUCAAUAUUUAUAUUAAUGUAAACAUUCACUUAAUCUUAAGUUAAUCACACUUUAAGUUAAUCAAGCACCUUUAAUAUAAUCUACACUUAAAUAAAUUAAACUAACCACCUAAUAACACUUAACAUAAACUAAACACACCUAAAGCAUCAUUAACCCUCUAAGCGAGGUUUAGUGAGUUAAACUCACCGGAUUAGCGAGCCGAGCGGACCAAAACGACGGGGACGACGCGAGGAUCGACUUUCCUCAAGCGGGCUGAGCAUCCGGGCUCGAGAAGGCGGCCAAAACGGGCCAAGACUUAGCUGCCAUACCCAUUUUCUUGGUUGCUGUCCAUGGCGGUUUGAGGCUGAGGAAGGGUAGAUCCCGGAGCUUGGAUGAGAUGGAGAGGGACCAAGGAAGGUUGAGGGGUCGAACCGGACCUAGGCGGGGCCCG